RNAcentral lists this ribosomal RNA (1206 nucleotides) under Triticum aestivum (bread wheat). RNAcentral describes it as "partial small subunit ribosomal RNA". Lineage: Eukaryota; Viridiplantae; Streptophyta; Magnoliopsida; Poales; Poaceae. The record is from RNAcentral.
AUGGCCACGUCCAGCUCCCAAUUCCUUUUCCGGAUGCUGCUUCCAGUCCUCCUUGUUGUCAUCCUUGCCUCGGCGGCCGAAGGGCAGCGCCCGGGUUGCCGCGAAAAGUGCGGCAACAUCACCAUCCCCUUCCCGUUCGGCAUCGGCCUCCGCUGCUUCCGCGAGGGCUUCGAGGUCCUCUGCAACCACUCUCGCGCCUUCCUUGCUGGCAACAGAACACGCAAGGGCGACUCCGAGGGCAAGCUCGCAUGGUCGUGGUCGCUGAUGGAGCUAGCGAGCAUAUCGGUCGCCACCAGCGAUGCACGAGCCUACGCUGCGGUCUCGUACCGCUGCAGCAUGAGUGAGAACACGAGCUCCUCCUUGUCCCUGCGUAUGGAUUUCGCUAUGUCAUCCAAGCGUAAUGUUCUCCAGGGCGUCGGCUGGAUAGUUGACGCUCAGUUGAGUUACGAACCUUACUUCUCGGCGGCGGCGGACGGGUUCCCUUGCAGUGUACCAGAGAGCAACUACCUGGAUAGGCCGGCCGGGACGAACGGGUCGUGCGUGGCCCCCUUCCCGCCCGACAACGGCCCCAACGAAAUUAUCAGCUUGUCGGUCCAAGGAAAUGACAAGAAUAGGUGGUGGGAAACCUACCCGUGCUCCUACGGCAUGCUGGUGGAGGAAUCAGUGUACAGCUUCUCUACGCCUGACAUACGCGGCAACAUGACGCUACUCGAAAGGUACCCCCAGGGGACACCCUUCAUCCUCGAUUUCGCCGCCGGGAACACUAAUUCGUGUCCGGAUGAAGGACGGCUUCCUUCAGACUACGCCUGUGUCAGCGGCAACAGCUCUUGUGCCAACGCAACAACACGUACUCGUGAUUUUCCGACAACAAGAACAACAAUUACUCGUGGCUAUGUCUGCAAGUGCUGGGAACACUACGACGGCAACCCGUACAUCCCAAACGGAUGCCAAUACAUUGAUGAGUGCAAGCUCCCUACAAAUCCCUGCCCAAAUGGCGGGAUCUGCAAAAACAGGCUGGAUGGUUAUGAUUGUCCAUGCAAAUUCGGUAUGAAAGACGACGGCAAAGGGGGGACUUGCACAGAUGUAUUCCCUCCAGCAUCAAAGGCAGCUGUGGGUGCAAUAGGGGGUAUUCUUCUCAUGGUAAUUAUAUCGUUCCUUAUUAUUCUUUACAAAGAGAAGAAGAUGAAGGAAUUCUACAAAAAAUAA